Molecule: ribosomal RNA, 878 nt
Filed under: uncultured fungus
Lineage: Eukaryota; Fungi
Description: eukaryotic LSU rRNA
Rfam family: 5.8S ribosomal RNA (bases 432-585)
Source: RNAcentral
UCUUGGUCAUUUAGAGGAAGUAAAAGUCGUAACAAGGUUUCCGUAGGUGAACCUGCGGAAGGAUCAUUAAAGAAAUUUAAUAAUUUUGAAAAUGGAUUUUUUUGUUUUGGCAAGAGCAUGAGAGCUUUUACUGGGCAAGAAGACAAGAGAUGGAGAGUCCAGCCGGGCCUGCGCUUAAGUGCGCGGUCUUGCUAGGCUUGUAAGUUUCUUUCUUGCUAUUCCAAACGGUGAGAGAUUUCUGUGCUUUUGUUAUAGGACAAUUAAAACCGUUUCAAUACAACACACUGUGGAGUUUUCAUAUCUUUGCAACUUUUUCUUUGGGCAUUCGAGCAAUCGGGGCCCAGAGGUAACAAACACAAACAAUUUUAUCUAUUCAUUAAAUUUUUGUCAAAAACAAGAAUUUUCGUAACUGGAAAUUUUAAAAUAUUAAAAACUUUUAACAACGGAUCUCUUGGUUCUCGCAUCGAUGAAGAACGCAGCGAAAUGCGAUACGUAAUGUGAAUUGCAGAAUUCCGUGAAUCACCGAAUCUUUGAACGCACAUUGCGCCCCUUGGUAUUCCAGGGGGCAUGCCUGUUUGAGCGUCAUUUCCUUCUCAAACAUUCUGUUUGGUAGUGAGUGAUACUCUUUGGAGUUAACUUGAAAUUGCUGGCCUUUUCAUUGGAUGUUUUUUUUCCAAAGAGAGGUUUCUCUGCGUGCUUGAGGUAUAAUGCAAGUACGGUCGUUUUAGGUUUUACCAACUGCGGCUAAUCUUUUUUUAUACUGAGCGUAUUGGAACGUUAUCGAUAAGAAGAGAGCGUCUAGGCGAACAAUGUUCUUAAAGUUUGACCUCAAAUCAGGUAGGAGUACCCGCUGAACUUAAGCAUAUCAAUAAGCGGAG